This 483-nucleotide ribosomal RNA is filed under the name uncultured bacterium. RNAcentral describes it as "partial 16S ribosomal RNA". It matches the Rfam family "Bacterial small subunit ribosomal RNA", at positions 28 to 507 of the family's 1533-position model. The record is from RNAcentral.
GACGAACGCUGGCGGCGUGCUUAACACAUGCAAGUCGAACGCUGAAGCUCAGCUUUUGUUGGGUGGAUGAGUGGCGAACGGGUGAGUAACACGUGAGUAACCUGCCCCCUUCUUUGGGAUAACGCCCGGAAACGGGUGCUAAUACUGGAUAUUCACUGGUCUUCGCAUGGGGGUUGGUGGAAAGGGUUUUUCUGGUGGGGGAUGGGCUCGCGGCCUAUCAGCUUGUUGGUGGGGUGAUGGCCUACCAAGGCUUUGACGGGUAGCCGGCCUGAGAGGGUGACCGGUCACAUUGGGACUGAGAUACGGCCCAGACUCCUACGGGAGGCAGCAGUGGGGAAUAUUGCACGAUGGGCGCAAGCCUGAUGCAGCGACGCCGCGUGAGGGAUGGAGGCCUUCGGGUUGUGAACCUCUUUCGCUCAUGGUCAAGCCGCAACAAUGGUUGUGGUGAGGGUAGUGGGUAAAGAAGCGCCGGCUAACUACGUG